GGCUUGAAAUUCUCCUGGUAUGUGCCAAAAUGUCUUCUAUAAAUCUGGUAGGCUUAUGUACUUAGUCUGCCUAUUUUGCAUGUUGCAGUUUGCUAUUUUUCCUCUAUUCCUAAUCCCCAUCUUCCAACCCAGAAACCAGAUGGUUUGAAGCCAUUGUCCUUCCCUGUGAUCUCAGUUGUCUUUUUAUUUAAGGCACCUCAGCCAAGUUCAUUAAAGGCAGGUGGGGUUAGAUGGCUCCAGUGCUCUGGCAUAGAAGUACCAUAUAAUCUCUUCUCAGCUGCUUGGAACUCACUUUUGCCUCCACCAGCUCCAUCUGCUUCCCUCACUCUCUUCCAAUUCCUGGUGUACAGAGCAGCCUUAGCUGUCUCUUGAUCCCUCACAGCAAGCUGGCCUGGACCCUGCUUUCUCUGGAAGGAAAUUGCUUUCUAAAAAGCUUAAUAAUGGAGCACCUUCCCCCAGCAUCAGCCUCAUGAUGCACCCAGAGCAUUACUAGUUGGAGGACCUUGUUCUGCUGGUAGAGUGAAAGCUGAAUGCUACUUUGUGCUUUCCUCCACACUACAUGGUCUACUGGGAAAGGUGUUUCCUCCUUGAAGAGUGUCAGCACAAACACCACCAUGCUGAGGAUUUACAGGCAGAAGAGAAUUGCACCAGAUGCCAGUUCAGUGCACUCACACUUUUCUGAUGGUGCAACAAAAGAAACCCUGGUAGCCUGCCUGCAGACAAGUUACUUGCAUCACUCGUUGGUUGUCUUGCUGUGUGAAAGUAGUGCACCCAGAAACAGGAUGUGGGAGCUGCUCCUCAACUGCAUUUCUUCUUUGAGUACUUAGACCUGUGCUGGACACACUUGAUAAUACUUCUCCAUACAAUCUAACCCUUCAGCAGCCUUCUGUUUAUCUCGAUUGGAAAGCAGGUCAGUAUAAAGACAAGAGUUCCUCAAGUGCUACUAAGGCACAAAAAACAGUUCUCCUUUCUAAGUGGAUUUUUUUUUGUCCUUCUAUCACGUCUCUGGUUUCUCCUCACCCUCUUUAGAAACGGGACUGUCUGCCUGGAGAGAAAUGUGCCUUGGACAAACAAGACCAGAGAGUCUUCGCUUUGGAGUUCUUGAGAAGAACUAUCCCUUUUUAAAAGGGAGUUUAAACAAAAAUGUCUAGGCAGAGAGGGCUCACAACCUCUCCCUAGCAACAGCUGCCCCAGAAGGUGACUGCGGUGUUUCCAAUGAUGACCUCCAUGCAUCUCUCACGGCCUCAUCUCUUUUCAAGACCCUUUCAUGUGACAGACCCCAUGAUGAAUGCCUGGAGACUGUACUGUACCACAUUACUUAUUUUGUCAGAGCUGCUGUCUCUGCCAAAUGGUGGCCAGACACUCAGACAGACUCUCCCAAUUAGCAGAGUCCUGCAGCUGAUGUCUGGGGCUGCAUCUGUGUGCCCUGUGCAUUACUACAGCUGAGACACUGGCUAGGCCUGCAUGGCCCGGGGUAGGUAACCACCUCAGCCACAGGGCAAGGAGGAAGCAGCUGGGCCUUCUUGAAAGAUGCGAUUUCCCUCAGUUCCUCUUGCUUGGCUGUGAAGGCGGCUAUUUGCAUGUUUAGUCCUUUCAUCCUUCUGUGGCCUGGGUGGAUCUGGAGCCGGCAGAGUGACUCAUCUGGGUCAUGCCACAGGCCUUGGCUUCCUUCUCAGUCUCAGCAAGGAGCGACUCCACACGCUGACCGUGGCGGAUCCCACAGGAUGUCGGUAUGUGGGGCCGGCUCCUAGUGCAACUCGGACUCCAGGUGAGCCCUUGUGUCACUGGCAUCUCCAGGCUCCCCUGAGCCUUGGGCUUAUGGCAGUCUCAGUAUAACUCCAGAGAUGUCUGCCUCGUCCUUUUCCCUCUGCUCCCCAGAGACACAUCUCAUGUCCUUGUCCUUGCUGCAUGCUUGCAGCUGCUUUGUGUCCCACAGACUUGCUUUGCACCUUUCAGAAACUUUGCCACUUUUGCUGCAUAUACAAAAUAGCCUUCCUCCUCAGCACAAGUGCAUUUAAUCUCCCUGAACCCUUAAAAGAAAAUAUUCUUUUAAUUUUACUCCUGUGGUAAUCUCUUGUCUUCCCUCACAGUUACUUUUUGGCUGGUGUUCGCUUCUGAGAUCUUUUAUAAUGUUUCAGUGUUCUUUGAGCAGUGGCACUUGCAUGCUGCAACCAGACAUGGAUGAUGAAAGCCAUAUGCAAAGAAAUGGUCCUCCUCUGAAGAGCUCACAGACUGCAGGUGGUGGUGGGGAAAAGGUGGAUUCCCAAAGCAGCUACUUGGCAUUAUUGGCAGCAGCAAUCUGAAAAGAAAGACCCAACCAGACUGCAGCUUUGUUUGGCAUCAAACUUGCCUCCUGAGAUGAUCACACAAGAAGUCUUUUAUCACUUUGGCAGCUGAGAGCCAGAGCUGCUUGUGGUGGAAGUCGCUGGGACCGUAACCCCGAGUUGUCGUGGGAUGAGAGUCAAGCUUGGCCUGUCAGCAAGGCGAGUUGCAGCAGUCUGAGCCCCUGCCAGGACACGUCAGUACUUCUGAGCGUGCUUCCCCCGGUGCUGCUCUCAUUAAGGAAAAGGCCACAACCCUUGGUGAGACCAAUCUUUCUAGAGAUGUUUCCGGUCCCAAUUUCUUUUGGCAAGUCAACUCCAUAAUUCAGGUAUUUUGCCCAGUUGAAGGAAGGUGUGGGUGGCACAGUAGGAUCACCAAGAGACCACAAGACUUGGAAGAGUAAUAUUCUGCACUUCGUAUCCACGUUAACUAAUACUUGGACUCCUGCAGGCAAGUACCAGCUGGCAGGGAGAGGUGGGGAGAUGGGGCCUAGUCCAGCUCUCUAUCAAAACAAACUUCCCUGUGCUAUUGUUGAACAGAGCUGUUUAGAAAUACCAGCAGCUGAGCCAUGCACAGGCAUGAGCAGUCUCCAGUGUAACCCCUGAGAAGCUCUGUGGGCAGGAUUCUAAAUUGACUGGUAGACUGAAAUGACAGCAGUCACAUCACUGCUGUGUAUCUGUUACCCAUCUGUCUCUUGGGA
This 3022-nucleotide long non-coding RNA is filed under the name Gallus gallus (chicken). RNAcentral's name for it is "lncRNA (ENSGALG00010020763.1)". Lineage: Eukaryota; Metazoa; Chordata; Aves; Galliformes; Phasianidae. The record is from RNAcentral.